GACAGAGUUCACAGACGAACUUGAGUUGUUAUCGAACUAGUUUCCUUUUACAUCUCGACGAGUAAACAUCGGAGCUCUCUCUUUCCAAGCAGAGAAUAAAUCAUACACUCGGGAAGUAAAGUCGGUGUCGGUCGUAACAAGAAAUUCGUCUUUAGUUUUUUAUUUUCGUCGAAGUUCUGUUUUCAUCACCUUGAAGAAAAUCGUUCAAUAACAACGAAGGUUGAAGAAUUUCGUUGCAAUAGUGCGCUAAUGUAGCAAUGAAGUAAUCGUGUAUUUGUAUUUUUAAUAUAAAAAAUAAAAAGUCGCGUAGUAGAAGCAGUGUUUGUUCGUUCGCGUUUCGCGAUUUAAACAACCAGUGUUUUUGCAUCGACUGCGAGCA
This is a long non-coding RNA of Vespula pensylvanica (western yellowjacket), 379 nucleotides long. RefSeq lists it as uncharacterized. Lineage: Eukaryota; Metazoa; Arthropoda; Insecta; Hymenoptera; Vespidae. The transcript is spliced from 3 exons. The record is from RefSeq and is a predicted model, not a curated record.